This 147-nucleotide unclassified non-coding RNA is filed under the name soil metagenome. Its description in RNAcentral is "partial internal transcribed spacer 1". The record is from RNAcentral.
CCGAGUUUACAACUCCCAAACCCCUGUGAACAUACCACUUGUUGCCUCGGCGGAUCAGCCCGCUCCCGGUAAAACGGGACGGCCCGCCAGAGGACCCCUAAACUCUGUUUCUAUAUGUAUCUUCUGAGUAAAACCAUAAAUAAAUCA